UUUCGCCUUGAGAGCUGCCAACCUGCC
This 27-nucleotide non-coding RNA is filed under the name Bombyx mori (domestic silkworm). The record is from RNAcentral. Lineage: Eukaryota; Metazoa; Arthropoda; Insecta; Lepidoptera; Bombycidae.